Long non-coding RNA from Sphaeramia orbicularis (orbiculate cardinalfish), 1665 nucleotides. RefSeq lists it as uncharacterized. The record is from RefSeq and is a predicted model, not a curated record. The transcript is spliced from 2 exons. NCBI's taxonomy places the organism in Eukaryota, Metazoa, Chordata, Actinopteri, Kurtiformes, Apogonidae.
AUGUGUGUGUGUGUGUGUGUGUGUGUGUGUGUGUGUGUGUGUGUGUGUGUGUGUGUGUGUGUAUUCUAGUAUGAACAAACCCACAUCAUCAUAUUUACAGACUUUUGCAUACAGCGUGUUUUUCCUGUUCCUUUGUUUACGUCGAGUUUUUCCCCCAAAAAUGAGGCUUUAAAAAUACAAUAAAAACUAGAAAUAAAAGGUGAUUUGUACAGAAUGAGGACGGCCUUUGUUUCUUUUGUCUUUUUGGGCCGAUUUCGUUGCGUUUCAAACAAACAGAGAGAAAAAAUAAUAAUAAAAAGAGCCGGCACAACGUGGUUGUAGAGGCCGCCGCCCACCGUUGCCAUGACGACGGGCGUUAAAUCGUCGGGAAAAGCACGAAAGGAUAAACUAAAGCGACGACACGUAAGCGCUGCCUGCUCUUCCACCUCCUACGUUUAAAUACUGAUAGACGACAUAUUCAGGACUUUUUUUUUGUUUAAGUUUAAAGCAGGACAUUAAAAAGUAUAAAAACACAAGACGAGUUUCUGGAACAGGCUCCGCCCCUCGCGUCAGACCAGGAAGAAGAAGAGGAAGAGGAGGAAGAGGAGGAAGAGGAGGGUUGAACACUGGAAGAGUCGACUGAAAUAAAGCGACGGAACAUGAAGCAGGUUUGUCAUGUUUCAGCUGCUUCAGGUGUUAAAUACGUGGAAAACAUGACCAAAUAUGGUGUUUAAUCCACACACCGUUCGUCCAAUCAUCACUCAGGAUCCAUUAGUCAAUACUUGAAAAAAACAAAACAAAAAAUAAACCCCACAUUUUUACUUUUAUGUGUAAAAACAGCCUGAACUCAACAUGAAUUUUAGACUUUCUUAUUGUAUUUAUCUGAAAUGACGAAUUAAACCAACUUCUGUACAAAAUUAAUCCAUUACUGCGCAAAUUAUUUUUGUUUUGUGAUAAAAAAUUGAAGAAUAAAUUGCAUUAAUUAACCAUUAGAAUGAACAUUUUAUCUUCACUUUAACCCAAAUGUUAAAUUCUGUCAGUGUUGAAGCUGAUCUCGGUCUAAAUUUCAACAGCUUUUUAAUCAUAUUUGUCUUAAAUACUUAAAAGUUAAGUGAAUAUUUGUGAGAUAAAUGUAAUAAAUCUGAUUUUUUUUUCCUCAAAUAGAUUAAUUCAUGUGAGAAAAUCCUUGACCUUAAACAAACGUCCACAGACAUAAAGAUAAAACCAUCUAUUAUUAUAUUUAUCGUUCAAAUACAUGGGACUUUUUUCAUAUAAAACGUGUCCGUGUUGCGUUCGUGCUGUUUAUCGCGUCAGUCAUGUGACCUCUGUCGUCCUCCUCGCUCUUCGUCCUGGUUGUGACGCCGGAGGAAGAUGAGCACCAGCAGUCGGCUCUGUGGACCAGGAGGAGGUAGGGAGGGGCCAGGGGCGGGGCGGGGCUAUGGGGCCUGGGGGCGGGGCUUCGACAUCUACCUGAUCCAGGACCAGGUGUUUGGGUUAAAAGCGUCCAGGUGUGGGCGGAGCCUCCAGCUUCAACGUCCUCAACCUCAGGUGGUUUUAAUACAUGAACGGUUCGUUAUCGAAGCGAACGGGUUCAUUCAUGUCGUUAAUAACAAACAAAAGUCAGAAAAUUCAUCACAAAUAAACCUUUUUCAGUCAAGAUUCAGUCAAAAGUGUCCAGUUUAAGCC